This 76-nucleotide transfer RNA is filed under the name Streptomyces sp. MBT62. Its description in RNAcentral is "tRNA-Trp". It matches the Rfam family "tRNA". From Rfam's summary of the family: Transfer RNA (tRNA) molecules are approximately 80 nucleotides in length. Their secondary structure includes four short double-helical elements and three loops (D, anti-codon, and T loops). The record is from RNAcentral. Lineage: Bacteria; Bacillati; Actinomycetota; Actinomycetes; Kitasatosporales; Streptomycetaceae.
GCGGGGUCGUAGCGCAGAGGCAGACGCACCGGUCUCCAGAACUGGGGCACGCUGGUUCGAAUCCAGCCACCCCGCC